AAACUUGAGCUAAUACCGGAUACGCCCUUAGGGGGAAAGAUUAUUGCCGAAGGAUUGGCCCGCKUCCGAUUAGYUAKUUGGUGAGGUAAUGGYUCACCAAGGCGACGAUCGGUAGYUGKUCUGAGAGGAUGAUCAGCCACACUGGGACUGAGACACGSCCCAGAYUCCUACGGGAGGCAGCAGUGGGGAAUAUUGGACAAUGGGCGCAAGCCUGAUCCAGCCAUSCCGCGUGAGUGAUGAAGGCCCUAGGGUUGUAAAGCUYUUUCGCCAGGGACGAUAAUSACSGUACCUGGAUAAGAAGCCCCGGCUAACUUCG
Molecule: ribosomal RNA, 316 nt
Filed under: uncultured alpha proteobacterium GE16
Lineage: Bacteria; Pseudomonadati; Pseudomonadota; Alphaproteobacteria
Description: partial 16S ribosomal RNA
Rfam family: Bacterial small subunit ribosomal RNA
Source: RNAcentral